CGGACAACAUGUCCGUAGGGAUGUAGCCGAAAGGCUGAACCGUAAA
Molecule: non-coding RNA, 46 nt
Submitted as: unclassified sequences
Source: Rfam